RNAcentral lists this ribosomal RNA (206 nucleotides) under uncultured bacterium. Its description in RNAcentral is "partial 16S ribosomal RNA". It matches the Rfam family "Bacterial small subunit ribosomal RNA", at positions 568 to 774 of the family's 1533-position model. The record is from RNAcentral.
CGUGUAGGUGGUUCUGUAUGUCUACCGUGAAAGCGUACGGCUCAACCGUAUUUAGUCGGUAGAAACUGCAGGACUUGAGGCUGGGAGGGGCUGGUGGAAUUCCCCGUGUAGCGGUGAAAUGCGUAGAGAUGGGGGAGAACACUCGUGGCGAAGGCGGCCAGCUAGACCAGUUCUGACACUGAGGCGCGACAGCGUGGGAGCAAACA